Molecule: long non-coding RNA, 2372 nt
Organism: Apis laboriosa (Himalayan honeybee)
Lineage: Eukaryota; Metazoa; Arthropoda; Insecta; Hymenoptera; Apidae
Exons: 2
Source: RefSeq, a predicted model, not a curated record
UUUUCAAAAGAAUAACACUAAUAUAAAAUUUUUCAAGGAACUAUUUUCUAUUGAUCAUGCGUAAGAACACUACAUAACGGUAAGCUACGGAGUAUAUAAAGCCGCCAUCAAACGCGCACGAAGGCAUUUCCUGAGUCAUUUUCGAACGGAGAAGGCUGUAUCUUGCUCGGUGAUUUAUAGUCUUGUGUGUAGUUGUGCAACUUUCUUCCAUUGUUCUACAAGAAACACGAGCCAGAUACAGUCUCACCGUUUGAGAUGGCAUUGGGACGGGCGGAGGAACUUGCUGUUUGCAGCGAUGCUGGGCGUACCGCAGAAUUGGGGACCCCAUGUUCUCUAGUCUCUACACCUUUCAUUGGUUUGGUUUGUAAACUGUAUCGGAACCAAUGCAUUUCUAUUUGCAAUUUUUUGUAAUAUACCAAUCGAGUCCGUCAAACAUGUUCAAAGAGCGUUUGAUUCGAUAUUUUUUUUUUUUCAGAAGUAUGGCGGUUUACAUAAAAAAUAUGUACUUAUAUAGCUUAAAGAAAAUUUGUGUAGUCAAUUAAUCUAUAGAUUUAAUAGCGUUUUAAAUGUUUACUUAAUGAUGAAAGAAUAAUUUUAUGUAGAUUUUGUAAUUAUUUAUAAAUGUUAAUUAACAGUUUUGUAAAUAUUGUGAUACAGCAAAACAGCAGCGGAAAAAAUAAAAAAGAAUAAUAAAAAUUGAAAAUGUUAAUAAUUUUCCUAUGAUUUUUAAAUCGCCAUAUUAAUGCCAAAAAUCCUUUUCAGUCCAGCAUACUACAUAAAAUUCUGUCGAACGCAAGAGUGUCCCGCACGUGUGUCCAGGCUGUUGGUCGUCAUCGGCGACACUAUUUGGCCUGUCUAUAUAUGAGAUAAGGAAUGGUGAGAGGAUUGGUAUGGGAUAAACAAAGGGGCAAAAUCUUUGUUUUUAGAAAUUUGCACACCACGAUCAAGUCGUACAUAAACGUCUCAUGUUCGCGCUUCCGUAUCUUGAACAUCCGAGCAUCAACUAAUUCAAAAAUCAAUGUGAUGCGCGAUAUACAUAGGCUUACUGUGACAUACUGCAGCAACCUCGAGCAAGUUCUAUUUUGGUGAGCUAAUCCCUUCUGUUCGUUACCUGUGCAAAUAUAUUUUCUCAGGUCCAGAAAAAUUUUUCCAAUGUUUAUGCAACUGAGUUCUAUAUAUGGGUUUCCCUGGCUUAUUAAUAAUCCUGUUCAAAGUUGAUCAAGCUGGACACUAGACAUAUAUGUUGUCCCAUUUGAAUUAAAAUAUAUAAAAGUUUCAAGGUAUGGAGUAAAUUAAACACAUCUUUCUUGAAUUUAGAUGAUCCAGUAAGGCGAGUUAUUGCAAGUAGCACAACUAAUUUUAAUAAUAGGCAUGCAUAUAAAAUAUAAAAAGCUCAAUUUGAAUAGGAAAUUGCUAUAAAUUUUUACUAGUAUUAUAUUACAUACAUUUUUUUUGGGAGUCAUUAUUGGAUGCUUACUUUUCACAGAUUUUGAUAUUACUUCACUUACUCAUUGGGUGGUAGAGCAAGAAGAACUUCAUGUAUUAUUAGAUUAACAGCUAAAAAAAAAGAUUCCUGAUAAGUGAUAUGCAACAGGGUUAUGGAAGUAAAGAGACUGAUUUAUAUUACAGUUCAAUUGAUACGAGAAACUACAUUGGGAAUUAAUGAAUACUCUGAAAAAAUUUUUUAAUGAUAGUAGGGAAGCAGUAAUACAAGGAUGAGCAAGCAGGAUAUUUCUAAAUUAAAUUUUUAAGUAUAACAUGUAGAUAAUAUUUUUAUAUUUUGAUGUUUUUAAAAAACAAAAUUGUUUAAUGUUUUUAAAUUCCAAGGAAAUACAUCAUCAAUGAUUCUCGGACGUUAUUGGAAAUUGCUUACAAUUAAUUAUAUAAUUAUAAUUAAGCAAGUAAAGGUUUGAUUUGAAGUAAAGGUUUGAUUUGAAGUUUGUUUAAAGGAAUUUAAUUUCUUCUACACAUGGUUGCAAAUGCAAUGUGAAGUAUCAUGCUUUUAUAAUUGUUUUAAAUAUUUUUUCUUGAAAUAUUGUGGUUCGGGUGUUUGUUUUGUACUACAGGAAUACCCAAUUUCGUACUCAUGGUGUACAACUAAACAACUACAAGCAGUUAUUUCUAUUCCUGGAACUUGUUGGAUUCGUUGCAAAGUGGUAUGUUGAUGAGAAUGAUUUAGUUCUGAGUUGUAGGGGUGGGAGGGAGUUAUUAUGUUUCAGCUAAGCUUGGAUAGAGAGAAUCCAUUUAAUCGACGAGGUAUAUAAAGAUGCACUUAAAAUAUAUUUUGGUCCUAAUUGGAUACAUAUGAAUAACUUAAUCUUGAUAAAUAUCGCAUAAUUUAUAUAUCUAUUUAUAUAACUGCAUUUUUGACA